GAUGAACGCUGGCGGCGUGCCUAAUACAUGCAAGUCGAGCGAACGGACGAGAAGCUUGCUUCUCUGAUGUUAGCGGCGAACGGGUGAGUAACACGUGGAUAACCUACCUAUAAGACUGGGAUAACUUCGGGAAACCGGAGCUAAUACCGGAUAAUAUUUUGAACCGCAUGGUUCAAAAGUGAAAGACGGUCUUGCUGUCACUUAUAGAUGGAUCCGCGCUGCAUUAGCUAGUUGGUAGGGUAACGGCUUACCAAGGCAACGAUGGGUAGCCGACCUGAGGGGGUGACCGGCCACAUGGGGACUACGAGACGGCCGAGACGACUAGGGGAGGACACAGUGGGGAAUAUUAAAUAAUGGGAGGAAGCCUGAUGCAGCAACGCCGGGGGCGGGAUAAAGGCCUUCGGGUGUUAAACCGCUUUCGCCUGUGACGAAGAGUGAGUGACGGUAAUGGGUAAAGAAGCACCGGCUAACUACGUG
Molecule: ribosomal RNA, 477 nt
Filed under: uncultured bacterium
Lineage: Bacteria
Description: partial 16S ribosomal RNA
Rfam family: Bacterial small subunit ribosomal RNA
Source: RNAcentral